UCCGCUCCAACCCUUGGCCCGUCACCCCACACCGAGGGAGCCAUCUCUCUCUCUCUAGUCUGUCCCCUUUCCCGACUCCUCGUUUUGAUCGGGCAUGGAAGGGCGGAUCCAUGGUGGGCGUCGGCCGGAUCUGCAGGCCGUCGUUCCGGUGUGGCCAUCGCCCCUCCCCUUCCACUCUCUCUCUCCCCUCCGCCGCCGUUGCCAACUCCCCUCUUUCUCCUCUGCUUCCACCGUGCCUCCUCCUCCCCCACAACCGCGACGGCACCAUGGAUGCUAGAUCUGAUGUGGUGGCCUCGUCCACAGAGCGUGCGUGCGGAGGAGGCUCCUCCCCUUGUCGGAGUUGGAUCAACGUCAGAUGGCAAGGGGAAGCAGCCAAAGGUGAUUUGGCCGCACUUCAGCUGCCCCCAGUCGCCAACCCUAACAAGAUGAGUUCCCAAGUCAAUCCGCGUUGGUCAGCUGAUGAACUCGACGAAUGGUUCAGAACUGUGUGGCGGCGGCAGCGGCUGUGGCGGUUUCUCAGCUGCCUCAAUGAUGAGGGCUCCCCCCACCGGGCAAUACGACAAGUGCUACAGCUUCAUCACACCCUACUCAGAUAAGUAAUGCUCAAGGUGUUGUAAACAAAGCCAAAUGCUAUUGCUUGACAUUUGCAUUAUCGUUACUACGAAAAGUACUGUUUAACACUAGAGAUGUGACUUUUAUUCCUAACACUGCUGAUUGGUGCUCUAGUUUAUUGAUUACUGCAUAUGUUCAGUUUCCUAGUGAAAAUACAUAAGUAAUUGUAUGCUGAAGUAGUGUUCUACAAGCACCCAUAGUGCUCUGCUCUGCAAUAUUUGUUUGGGAGCAACAAAAGGCUCAACAGCUUUCGACUGGCAUGAAACUUUGCUUCAUGCCAUACAUAAAAACUUUGCUUCAUGCACCUAGACAGACAAGACUCAAACAAAUAGUUUUAAGCCAUAGGAAUGACUUGCUUCAUGUACCAACUUCUAUCUUCAAUUCUUCAUGUACAAUGGCAACUUGCACGUGAAGGUGUAUCUUUGUGCUUUUUAAAUGCCUGUUGAAGUAAGUAGAAGUUUCCUCUCUAGUUACUUUCCAAAUAGUUACUAAUUAAUUAUUGUUUUGAUAUAUGCUAGCUGAUUUAUUGGACCAUAUAUGGUUUUGCAGGAUUCAAGAACAGCCUAUAUAUACUCAAAUGUAGUUACAACUUAUGUACUGUAAGAAAUCUUCAAUGUUGCUGCUCAGCAUGUAUUAGUAGCAAUCUUCUAGGCUUGUAGCUCCUUGAGCACAGAUGAUUUGUAACUUAAUUUGUAUCUGAAGAUUGUAAAGAAUUGAUUGCUGAAAUGGAUGAAACAUGUGUAAUGCAUAAAGGACCAUGGUAGGAAUUUAUUUUCUU
This is an RNA transcript of Sorghum bicolor (sorghum), 1390 nucleotides long. RefSeq lists it as uncharacterized. NCBI's taxonomy places the organism in Eukaryota, Viridiplantae, Streptophyta, Magnoliopsida, Poales, Poaceae. The record is from RefSeq and is a predicted model, not a curated record. The transcript has 2 exons.